AUUGAACGCUGGCGGCAGGCUUAACACAUGCAAGUCGAGCGGGGGGAGGUAGCUUGCUACCGGACCUAGCGGCGGACGGGUGAGUAAUGCUUAGGAAUCUGCCUAUUAGUGGGGGACAACAUCUCGAAAGGGAUGCUAAUACCGCAUACGUCCUACGGGAGAAAGCAGGGGAUCUUCGGACCUUGCGCUAAUAGAUGAGCCCAAGUCGGAUUAGCUAGUUGGUGGGGUAAAGGCCUACCAAGGCGACGAUCUGUAGCGGGUCUGAGAGGAUGAUCCGCCACACUGGGACUGGGACACGGCCCAGACUCCUACGGGAGGCAGCAGUGGGGAAUAUUGGACAAUGGGGGGAACCCUGAUCCAGCCAUGCCGCGUGUGUGAAGAAGGCCUUAUGGUUGUAAAGCACUUUAAGCGAGGAGGAGGCUACUUUAGUUAAUACCUAGAGAUAGUGGACGUUACUCGCAGAAUAAGCACCGGUUAACUCUGUGCCAGCAGCCGCGGUAA
This 501-nucleotide ribosomal RNA is filed under the name uncultured bacterium. Its description in RNAcentral is "partial 16S ribosomal RNA". It matches the Rfam family "Bacterial small subunit ribosomal RNA", at positions 30 to 523 of the family's 1533-position model. The record is from RNAcentral.